UACGUAGGGUGCAAGCGUUAAUCGGAAUUACUGGGCGUAAAGCGUGCGCAGGCGGUUUUGUAAGUCUGAUGUGAAAUCCCUGGGCUCAACCUGGGAAUUGCGUUGGAGACUGCAAGGCUAGAAUCUGGCAGAGGGGGGUAGAAUUCCACGUGUAGCAGUGAAAUGCGUAGAGAUGUGGAGGAACACCGAUGGCGAAGGCAGCCCCCUGGGUCAAGAUUGACGCUCAUGCACGAAAGCGUGGGGAGCAAACAGG
RNAcentral lists this ribosomal RNA (253 nucleotides) under uncultured bacterium. RNAcentral describes it as "partial 16S ribosomal RNA". It matches the Rfam family "Bacterial small subunit ribosomal RNA", at positions 524 to 776 of the family's 1533-position model. The record is from RNAcentral.